AGCUCCAAUAGCGUAUACUAAAGUUGUUGCAGUUAAAAAGCUCGUAGUUGAAUUUCUGGUUGUGAAAGGCGGUCAGCCCCAAGGGGUUUGUACCUGCAGUUCGUAGCCAUCUUCGGAGAAUGCGUGUCUGUCAUUAAGUUGAUGGGCACGAGGACUCUGUCAUUUACUGUGAGCAAAAUAGAGUGUUCAAAGCAGGCAUUAUGCCAUUGAAUACAUUAGCAUGGAAUAAUAAGAUAAGACCUUGGUCUAUUUUGUUGGUUUGACUCCAAGGUAAUGAUUAAUAGGGACAGUUGGGGGUAUUCGUAUUCAAUUGUCAGAGGUGAAAUUCUUGGAUUUCUGGAAGACGAACUACUGCGAAAGCAUUUACCAUGGAUGUUUUCA
Molecule: ribosomal RNA, 381 nt
Filed under: uncultured eukaryote
Lineage: Eukaryota
Description: SSU rRNA
Rfam family: Eukaryotic small subunit ribosomal RNA
Source: RNAcentral